RNAcentral lists this ribosomal RNA (788 nucleotides) under Microbacterium ginsengisoli. RNAcentral describes it as "bacterial SSU rRNA". It matches the Rfam family "Bacterial small subunit ribosomal RNA", at positions 57 to 856 of the family's 1533-position model. Lineage: Bacteria; Bacillati; Actinomycetota; Actinomycetes; Micrococcales; Microbacteriaceae. The record is from RNAcentral.
GCAAGUCGAACGGUGAAAGAGAGCUUGCUCUCUGGAUCAGUGGCGAACGGGUGAGUAACACGUGAGCAACCUGCCCCGGACUCUGGGAUAACAGCUGGAAACAGCUGCUAAUACCGGAUACGAGCUGCGAAGGCAUCUUCAGCAGCUGGAAAGAAUUUCGGUCCGGGAUGGGCUCGCGGCCUAUCAGCUAGUUGGUGAGGUAAUGGCUCACCAAGGCGUCGACGGGUAGCCGGCCUGAGAGGGUGACCGGCCACACUGGGACUGAGACACGGCCCAGACUCCUACGGGAGGCAGCAGUGGGGAAUAUUGCACAAUGGGCGAAAGCCUGAUGCAGCAACGCCGCGUGAGGGAUGACGGCCUUCGGGUUGUAAACCUCUUUUAGCAGGGAAGAAGCGAAAGUGACGGUACCUGCAGAAAAAGCGCCGGCUAACUACGUGCCAGCAGCCGCGGUAAUACGUAGGGCGCAAGCGUUAUCCGGAAUUAUUGGGCGUAAAGAGCUCGUAGGCGGUUUGUCGCGUCUGCUGUGAAAACCCGAGGCUCAACCUCGGGCCUGCAGUGGGUACGGGCAGACUAGAGUGCGGUAGGGGAGAUUGGAAUUCCUGGUGUAGCGGUGGAAUGCGCAGAUAUCAGGAGGAACACCGAUGGCGAAGGCAGAUCUCUGGGCCGUAACUGACGCUGAGGAGCGAAAGGGUGGGGAGCAAACAGGCUUAGAUACCCUGGUAGUCCACCCCGUAAACGUUGGGAACUAGUUGUGGGGUCCAUUCCACGGAUUCCGUGACGCAGCUAAC